RNAcentral lists this ribosomal RNA (999 nucleotides) under uncultured organism. RNAcentral describes it as "bacterial SSU rRNA". It matches the Rfam family "Bacterial small subunit ribosomal RNA", at positions 451 to 1452 of the family's 1533-position model. The record is from RNAcentral.
CCGUUGAAAUUAAGCGGAACGAUGACGGUACCUGCCUAAAGCCCCGGCUAACUACGUGCCAGCAGCCGCGGUAAUACGUAUGGGGCGAGCGUUGUUCGGAAUUAUUGGGCAUAAAGGGCGUCUAGGCGGGGAAUUAAGUUAGGUGUGAAAGCCAUGGGCUCAACCCGUGAAUUGCAUCUAAAACUGAUUCUCUUGAGUUCGGGAGAGGAGAGCGGAAUUCCUGGUGUAGCGGUGAAAUGCGUAGAUAUCAGGAAGAACACCAGUGGCGAAGGCGGCUCUCUGGCCUAGAACUGACGCUGAAGCGCGAAAGCGUGGGGAGCGAACGGGAUUAGAUACCCCGGUAGUCCACGCCGUAAACGUUGUGUACUAGGUGUUAGUGCUUUAAGCACUAGUGCCGACGCUAACGCAUUAAGUACACCGCCUGGGGAGUACGCCCGCAAGGGUUAAACUCAAAGAAAUUGACGGGGGCCCGCACAAGCGGUGGAGCAUGUGGUUUAAUUCGAUGAUACGCGAAGAACCUUACCAGGGCUUGAACUGUUUCUGACAGGUGUAGAGAUACACCCUCCUUCGGGCAGAUUCAGAGGUGCUGCAUGGUUGUCGUCAGCUCGUGUCGUGAGAUGUUGGGUUAAGUCCCGCAACGAGCGCAACCCUUACUCCUUGUUGCUAUCAGGUCAUGCUGGGCACUCUAGGGGAACUGCCGGUGAUAAACCGGAGGAAGGUGGGGAUGACGUCAAAUCAGCACGGCCCUUAUGUCCUGGGCUACACACGUGCUACAAUGGCCGGUACAAUGAGUUGCGAUGCCGCGAGGUGGAGCUAAUCUCAAAAAACCGGUCUCAGUUCGGAUUGCAGUCUGCAACUCGACUGCAUGAAGCUGGAAUCGCUAGUAAUCGGAGAUCAGCACGCUCCGGUGAUACGUUCCCGGGCCUUGUACACACCGCCCGUCACACCAUCCGAGUUGGCAGCACCCGAAGUGGCUGAGCUAACCGUUUACGGAGGCAG